UACGGGGGGAGCAAGCGUUGUUCGGAUUUACUGGGCGUAAAGGGCGCGUAGGCGGCCAGCACAAGUCAGUUGUGAAAUCUCCGGGCUUAACUCGGAAAGGUCAACUGAUACUGUGCGGCUAGAGUGCAGAAGGGGCAACUGGAAUUCUCGGUGUAGCGGUGAAAUGCGUAGAUAUCGAGAGGAACACCUGCGGCGAAGGCGGGUUGCUGGGCUGACACUGACGCUGAUGCGCGAAAGUCAGGGGAGCGAACGGG
This 254-nucleotide ribosomal RNA is filed under the name uncultured bacterium. Its description in RNAcentral is "partial 16S ribosomal RNA". It matches the Rfam family "Bacterial small subunit ribosomal RNA", at positions 524 to 776 of the family's 1533-position model. The record is from RNAcentral.